CUUGCUUCCGCUGAGAAGAUAGUGGCGAACGGGUGAGUAACACGUGGGUAACCUGCCCAUAAGAGGGGGAUAACAUCCGGAAACGGGUGCUAAUACCGCAUAGUUUUCUUGAUCGCAUGAUUGAGAAAGGAAAGACGGCCUUUGUGCUGUCGCUUAUGGAUGGACCCGCGGCGUAUUAGUUAGUUGGUGAGGUAACGGCUCACCAAGACGAUGAUACGUAGCCGACCUGAGAGGGUGAUCGGCCACAUUGGGACUGAGACACGGCCCAAACUCCUACGGGAGGCAGCAGUAGGGAAUCUUCCGCAAUGGACGAAAGUCUGACGGAGCAACGCCGCGUGAGUGAAGAAGGUUUUCGGAUCGUAAAACUCUGUUGUCAGAGAAGAACAAGUCGGAGAGUAACUGCUCCGGCCUUGACGGUAUCUGACCAGAAAGCCACGGCUAACUACGUGCCAGCAGCCGCGGUAAUACGUAGGUGGCAAGCGUUGUCCGGAUUUAUUGGGCGUAAAGCGAGCGCAGGCGGUUCCUUAAGUCUGAUGUG
This 538-nucleotide ribosomal RNA is filed under the name uncultured bacterium. RNAcentral describes it as "bacterial SSU rRNA". It matches the Rfam family "Bacterial small subunit ribosomal RNA", at positions 74 to 596 of the family's 1533-position model. The record is from RNAcentral.